AAAUCAACUCACAGUGGCGUGCUGUUUCUCAGUUAUUGGCAUCACUGAACAGUCCAUGAGCAGUGGAAAUCACAGGCCAUCUCUCAGUGAGAUCUCUCCAGCAUCCAGCACUGCCAACCAGCUCUUCCAGGCUGUGCAGUCUGGCACAGAAAGAGACAAAGCCAGCCUGAGUCAUUUACAAAAACAGGGUGCCGCCCAUUAUUUGAGCAGGCUGGAGUGGACUGCUGCUGGGAGAUCUCGAGUGCCAAACAAUAAAUGAAUCCUCUCCGGUUAAUCGUCACCCUGCCAAUGAGACGGAGGUUGGUUGCUCUUGCAAUGAAGGACAAAAGUCUUUUCUUCUGCUCUUUGUUGCCUGUAACAAAGCUGGUUGGAUGCAGCUGGGAUCAGGCCCACAGCUGAUCCUCCUCUCCCCCGCCCCUGGGCCAUUCCUUUCAGCUCAGCUGGGGUAGCCGGGACAAUAGGGAAGCUGUGUUUGCUGCAUCUCAGGAUGUUAGGUCUAUAGUUUGGACAGCCCAAGAAUAUGUGUGUAUUCUCCCCAUUGAUGUUCAGGGGCUUGAUACCUCUUUGUUUAGUUUGCUUUAUUGAAAGGUAAAACGGAAGAAGGGAUAAUGCCCUUGCUUAGAAAUAUAGAUGCAUGGUGACAUAAAAGGGAUGAGAAGGGAACAUUUCAGAGAUGAGACCUGAAUCCACGCUCCUUGGAGUGGGGAAGCAGUACAGGAGGGAAGCAGUUCUACCAGCUGUGCUGCCCCGCUGCAGGAUUUCCCCAGGCAGGAUCCUGGUCCAUGUUCAGAUAACAGGCUGCGCUGGUGUAAGAUGUCGAGAUAAUCUGCCAGUUCCUCCUGGCCCCUGGCAGGUAGCUCUCCAUGCAAGAGUGAACAGGCCAGUCUGACUCAGCUGCAAACGCACAAGCCAUCAGAAAAUGAUGAUCAGAAAAUAGUGCUCUCCAUUUUCCGGUGUUGGAACCUUGCUUCCCCGAUGUGUUUGAUGUCGGUGCAUUCAAAGUACAGGAUAAUUUUUUCCA
Molecule: long non-coding RNA, 1021 nt
Organism: Pezoporus flaviventris
Lineage: Eukaryota; Metazoa; Chordata; Aves; Psittaciformes; Psittacidae
Exons: 2
Source: RefSeq, a predicted model, not a curated record